This 747-nucleotide ribosomal RNA is filed under the name Bacillus subtilis. RNAcentral's name for it is "bacterial SSU rRNA". It matches the Rfam family "Bacterial small subunit ribosomal RNA", at positions 56 to 786 of the family's 1533-position model. The record is from RNAcentral. Lineage: Bacteria; Bacillati; Bacillota; Bacilli; Caryophanales; Bacillaceae.
AGCAGUCGAGCGGACAGAUGGGAGCUUGCUCCCUGAUGUUAGCGGCGGACGGGUGAGUAACACGUGGGUAACCUGCCUGUAAGACUGGGAUAACUCCGGGAAACCGGGGCUAAUACCGGAUGGUUGUUUGAACCGCAUGGUUCAAACAUAAAAGGUGGCUUCGGCUACCACUUACAGAUGGACCCGCGGCGCAUUAGCUAGUUGGUGAGGUAACGGCUCACCAAGGCAACGAUGCGUAGCCGACCUGAGAGGGUGAUCGGCCACACUGGGACUGAGACACGGCCCAGACUCCUACGGGAGGCAGCAGUAGGGAAUCUUCCGCAAUGGACGAAAGUCUGACGGAGCAACGCCGCGUGAGUGAUGAAGGUUUUCGGAUCGUAAAGCUCUGUUGUUAGGGAAGAACAAGUACCGUUCGAAUAGGGCGGUACCUUGACGGUACCUAACCAGAAAGCCACGGCUAACUACGUGCCAGCAGCCGCGGUAAUACGUAGGUGGCAAGCGUUGUCCGGAAUUAUUGGGCGUAAAGGGCUCGCAGGCGGUUUCUUAAGUCUGAUGUGAAAGCCCCCGGCUCAACCGGGGAGGGUCAUUGGAAACUGGGGAACUUGAGUGCAGAAGAGGAGAGUGGAAUUCCACGUGUAGCGGUGAAAUGCGUAGAGAUGUGGAGGAACACCAGUGGCGAAGGCGACUCUCUGGUCUGUAACUGACGCUGAGGAGCGAAAGCGUGGGGAGCGAACAGGAUUAGAUACC